CAGCUCUAAGUGGGUGGUAAAUUCCAUCUAAAGCUAAAUAUUGGCGAGAGACCGAUAGCGAACAAGUACAGUGAUGGAAAGAUGAAAAGAACUUUGAAAAGAGAGUGAAAAGGUACGUGAAAUUGUUGAAAGGGAAGGGCUUGAGAUCAGACUUGGUAUUUUGCGAUCCUUUCCUUCUUGGUUGGGUUCCUCGCAGCUUACUGGGCCAGCAUCGGUUUGGAUGGUAGGAUAAUGACUAAGGAAUGUGGCUCUACUUCGGUGGAGUGUUAUAGCCUUGGUUGAUACUGCCUGUCUAGACCGAGGACAGCGUCUUUGACUAGGAUGCUGGCAUAAUGAUCUUAAGCCAC
RNAcentral lists this ribosomal RNA (347 nucleotides) under uncultured Saccharomycetes. Its description in RNAcentral is "eukaryotic LSU rRNA". It matches the Rfam family "Eukaryotic large subunit ribosomal RNA", at positions 283 to 648 of the family's 3401-position model. Lineage: Eukaryota; Fungi; Ascomycota; Saccharomycetes. The record is from RNAcentral.